Molecule: ribosomal RNA, 484 nt
Filed under: uncultured bacterium
Lineage: Bacteria
Description: partial 16S ribosomal RNA
Rfam family: Bacterial small subunit ribosomal RNA
Source: RNAcentral
AUUGAACGCUAGCGGGAUGCUUUACACAUGCAAGUCGAACGGCAGCGCGGACUUCGGUCUGGCGGCGAGUGGCGAACGGGUGAGUAAUGUAUCGGAACGUGCCCAGUAGCGGGGGAUAACUACGCGAAAGCGUAGCUAAUACCGCAUACGCCCUACGGGGGAAAGCCGGGGAUCGUAAGACCUUGCACUAUUGGAGCGGCCGAUAUCGGAUUAGCUAGUUGGUGAGGUAACGGCUCACCAAGGCGACGAUCCAUAGCUGGUUUGAGAGGACGACCGGCCACACUGGAACUGAGACACGGCCCAGACUCCUACGGGAGGCAGCAGUGGGGAAUUUUGGACAAUGGGGGCAACCCUGAUCCAGCCAUCCCGCGUGUGCGAUGAAGGCCUUCGGGUUGUAAAGCACUUUUGGCAGGAAAGAAACGUCGCGGGCUAAUACCCCGUGGAACUGACGGUACCUGCAGAAUAAGCACCGGCUAACUACGUG